AUACCGUAGAACAGUUUUCUUACAGUGGUCAGUGUUCGAGGUUAUAUAACUAAUCGGAAUUCUACUUCGGAAGAUAAUAGAAAUUUCAAACAGAAAGUUAUUUCAUGUGAAGUGUGUUAAUUAAGUGCACGUGUACGCCCACGUUCCAACAGUUUUUCAAGAAGAAGAGAAACGAUAAGGAAGAGUGCUACAUCGACUGGGAGAAUACUUACAGGUGUUCGUGUAAAAACGAUUCGUUUAAGAGAAAUCGAUUCAAAUACCUGAGUUAGUAAAAGAGAUGAGAAUAAGAGAUCCG
Ceratina calcarata is the source of this 295-nucleotide long non-coding RNA. RefSeq lists it as uncharacterized. The transcript is spliced from 3 exons. NCBI's taxonomy places the organism in Eukaryota, Metazoa, Arthropoda, Insecta, Hymenoptera, Apidae. The record is from RefSeq and is a predicted model, not a curated record.